CCACUUCUUCCUCUUUUUUCACCUCUUCUUCUUUCUCUUCUUCUCCUUCUUCUCCUUCUUGGAUAGGAUUAUCCUUUAAAAUAAAAUUGAUUGAGUCUACCUCCUCAUGUGGGCCAUCAUGUAUGAAAAUUUCUAGAGCAUCCAACUCGACAUCUAUUGAAGACCAAUGAAAUCCUAACGUUUCAUCCUCCCAAAAGUAUUCUGAUAAUUGGAGCUCUUCUUCUUCUUCGAGUGCAUAAUGAAUGGCUCGAGACUUAACCUUAUACACAGCCUACCAAUCUUUCCUUUCUCUCUCCCUUGAUGGAAAAGGAGUAU
RNAcentral lists this long non-coding RNA (315 nucleotides) under Elaeis guineensis (African oil palm). RNAcentral's name for it is "long non-coding RNA (EGUI_LNC008122)". Lineage: Eukaryota; Viridiplantae; Streptophyta; Magnoliopsida; Arecales; Arecaceae. The record is from RNAcentral.